AGAGUUUGAUCAUGGCUCAGAGCGAACGCUGGCGGCAGGCUUAACACAUGCAAGUCGAACGGACGCAGCAAUGCGUCAGUGGCAGACGGGUGAGUAACACGUGGGAACGUGCCCUUCGGUUCGGAACAACCCAGGGAAACUUGGGCUAAUACCGGAUACGUCCGCAAGGAGAAAGAUUUAUCGCCGAAGGAUCGGCCCGCGUCUGAUUAGCUUGUUGGUGAGGUAACGGCUCACCAAGGCGACGAUCAGUAGCUGGUCUGAGAGGAUGAUCAGCCACACUGGGACUGAGACACGGCCCAGACUCCUACGGGAGGCAGCAGUGGGGAAUAUUGGACAAUGGGCGCAAGCCUGAUCCAGCCAUGCCGCGUGGGUGAUGAAGGCCUUAGGGUUGUAAAGCCCUUUCGGCGGGGAAGAUAAUGACGGUACCCGCAGAAGAAGCCCCGGCUAACUUCGUGCCAGCAGCCGCGGUAAUACGAAGGGGGUUAGCGUUGCUCGGAAUCACUGGGCGUAAAGCGCACGUAGGCGAAUUGCUAAGUCAGGGGUGAAAUCCUGGAGCUCAACUCCAGAACUGCCUUUGAUACUGGCGACCUUGAGUCCGGGAGAGGUGAGUGGAACUGCGAGUGUAGAGGUGAAAUUCGUAGAUAUUCGCAAGAACACCAGUGGCGAAGGCGGCUCACUGGCCCGGUACUGACGCUGAGGUGCGAAAGCGUGGGGAGCAAACAGGAUUAGAUACCCUAGUAGUCC
Molecule: ribosomal RNA, 744 nt
Filed under: uncultured bacterium
Lineage: Bacteria
Description: bacterial SSU rRNA
Rfam family: Bacterial small subunit ribosomal RNA
Source: RNAcentral